RNAcentral lists this ribosomal RNA (369 nucleotides) under uncultured bacterium. RNAcentral describes it as "bacterial SSU rRNA". It matches the Rfam family "Bacterial small subunit ribosomal RNA", at positions 530 to 896 of the family's 1533-position model. The record is from RNAcentral.
GGGUGCAAACGUUGCUCGGAAUUAUUGGGCGUAAAGCGUGCGUAGGCGGUUCAGCAAGUCGGGUGUGAAAUCCCUCGGCUUAACCGAGGAAGUGCAUUCGAAACUACUGAGCUUGAGUACCGGAGAGGGUGACGGAAUUCCCGGUGUAGAGGUGAAAUUCGUAGAUAUCGGGAGGAACACCAGUGGCGAAGGCGGUCACCUGGACGGAUACUGACGCUGAGUGCACGAAAGCGUGGGGAGCAAACAGGAUUAGAUACCCUGGUAGUCCACGCCGUAAACGAUGGAUGCUAGACGUCGUAGGUAUUGACCCCUGCGGCAUCGAAGCUAACGCGAUAAGCAUCCCGCCUGGGGAGUACGGCCGCAAGGCUA